RNAcentral lists this ribosomal RNA (606 nucleotides) under fungal sp. BB1. RNAcentral describes it as "eukaryotic LSU rRNA". The stretch from base 217 to 370 matches the Rfam family "5.8S ribosomal RNA". The record is from RNAcentral. Lineage: Eukaryota; Fungi.
AGGGAUCAUUUCGAUCUAUUAGGGAGGAGUUGUGCUGGCCCUUUUCUGGGCAUGUGCACGCUUCGCUCGAAAGCUUUCAAACCCCUGUGCACAUCUGUAGGGAAUGCGAGCGCCUGCGCUUGCUGACCCUAUGUUUUAUUAUAUACCCAUUGUAUGUCUCUGAAUGUCUAAACACCUUCUGUGCGCUGUAAAAGGCGUGCGGAUUGAAACUAUUAUAACUUUCAACAACGGAUCUCUUGGCUCUCGCAUCGAUGAAGAACGCAGCGAAAUGCGAUAAGUAAUGUGAAUUGCAGAAUUCAGUGAAUCAUCGAAUCUUUGAACGCACCUUGCGCUCCUUGGUAUUCCGAGGAGCAUGCCUGUUUGAGUGUCAUUAAAUUCUCAACCCUCUCGAUUUGCGUCGAGGGUGGCUUGGACUUGGAGGCUGCCGGCGUCUGUCGGCUCCUCUUAAAUGCAUUAGCGAAUUGAUAGCUUUGCGGUUGGUGUGAUAAUUAUCUACGCCUUCAAGCCGCUCUGUAGCUUCGCUUCUAACCGUCCUCGCGGACAACUUUAUCAUUGACUUUGACCUCAAAUCAGGUAGGACUACCCGCUGAACUUAAGCAUAUCAAU